GACCAUGACAGCAAAGUCCUUCUGAAGAGUCAUUCAGUGAAGACUUGGGGGUUGGCAAAGUAGUCAGUUCUGUUUUUGCCCUCUCCUAAUAGUUCAAUGAGUUAAAGGAAAAGAAUGUUUUCACAGAAAAAAAAAAAAGUAUGUUUGUUUGCUUGAAGGAGAUCUGUCUAGCCUUACCUCAUAUCACUUCCCUUCUGGUGAAUCUGAUGGUGAAAUAAGUUUAUUCCUAAGAGAGCUCCCUAAUGCAAUUAAAGUGGGCGUGGCUUCUGCGGGUUUCAUGGCAGGAUGCAUCAGGAAUAUAGAAACUUGGAGACAAAUGUCCUGUGGUUAUUGUUAUGGUCUGAAUGUUUCUACACCCCCAAAUUCAUAUGCUGCCAUUCUAACCCAAGGUGAUGGUAUUAGACGGGGUGUCUUUCGGCAGUGAGGGCAUAAUGCACUUAGGAAGAGACUCAGAGAACUAGCUAGCCCUUUCCACCAUGUGAGAGUGCAACAAGGAACAGACUCUCACCAGACACCAAAUCUGCUGGCCCCUUGAUCUGGGACUUCUCAGUCUCCAGAACUCUGAGAAAUAAAUGCCAAUUGUUUAGAAACUACCAAUUUCAUGGUAUUUUGUUACAGCAACCUGAACAGACUAAGACAGUUACUGAAAAACCCCACUUUAAAUAUGUGAGCAUGGGAGCCCACAUUGCUGGACAGCCUCAUGGUAAAGCUAUCAAAUCCUGCUCUUGGCAUAUUUUGCAGUAGUGUUGUGCCCAGGGAGGGGGGCAGUCAGUCCUGGGGGACGGGCAAUAAGGAGGUGAACUGCUGGCCGAGAACAUAAACACAAUCAUUAUUAAAUUGAUUACAUGUAGUGUGCUUUUUAUUAUUACCAUGUGCCAGCAAUCCUAAACUAUGUCAAUGAUAGAACACCUUCCCAUAAGAAAUAAUUUUUUGUUCUAACUGGUCUAAUUGUUACAGUUAGUGUUACAGUUAGCGUUGAGAGUGUUUUUCCAUUUUUUUUUACUGUGAUAAAAUAUGAUUACCAUUUUAGCCAUGGUUAAGUGUACAGUUCAGUGGCAUGAAACACAUUAAUGUUUAGUUUUAAUAAAAUAUUUGUUAGCUUCAUUUUUUUUUUACAUUUCACAUACAUGAAAUAAGCCAAUCACAAAAAGAUAAAUACUACACAAUUCCACUUAAAUGAGGUUAUCUACAGUGAUCAAAUUCUUAGAAACAAAAAGUAGAAUGGUGGUUACUCCGGACUGGAGGAAGCAGGAAAUGAGAAAUUGUUCAGUGGAUACAGAUUGAGUAUCCUCUCUGAAGAUUUGUAUAUUUAAAAUUUUUUUCUUUAUCUGAUUGAGUUGAUUUGAAGAAUCAGUUUUUGAGCUCUGAGAUUCCACAGCUUGAUCUAUUCCUCUGUUAAUGCUUCCAACACUAUUAUGAAAAUUUUGUAGUGAAUUUUUAAAUUCCAGUUCAGUUUGGUUCUUUUUAAAAAUGGCUAUUUUGUCUUUCAAUUUUUGGGUCAUUUUUACUGGAUUCCUUGGAUUGGGUUUCUACUUCCUCUUGAAUCUUGAUGAGCUUCUUUGGUAUCCAGAUUCUGAAUUCUAUGUCUGUCAUUCCGGACAUUUCAGUCCUUGCUGAGGGGCUAGUAUGCUUAUUUGACGUUUUGAAUUGCCAGAGUUCUUGUGCUGACUCUUUUGAGAGGGCUGGUGUUCCUUUGUCGUCUUGUUUUUAUAUUAUUCAUUUACCUUGAGGGCUUAACUGUGGUAUAUGUUGAGUAUAGUCAAUUGGCUUCAUUUCUGGAUACUUUCAGAGGGCCAAGGCUCUGUAUGGGAUCUUUGUGGCUAGAUUCUUGCUCUGGGUUUUACAGGUGCUCUAUACUGGCAGAAUAUUUUGAAAUUGUAAUUUCGGCGGCAAACCAGUAGAUGGCGCUUAAGAGUAAUUGCCGGCAGGCUCUGACUCAGCGCUGGCUCUUUGGUAUUUUGUAUUCGCAGUCAUGCUCCAUAGUUCAGGGGAGAGAGAUGAUCCUUUUGCCAAGUCCUCUCCUGGCCCUUAGAGGAGCCCCCUCCAAUCACUGGAGCUGCACUUACGUUUCCUUUGUUAGGUGUUCGGAGCUGUGGGGGCUCUCUCCGGCAGAGGCUAAGGCUUGCAGACAGGCCGCAACCCUUCCCUGAAAGGCCCUGAGAGAGACAAGUCUCAUCCCGCGCUGGCCCACGAACUGCUUCUCACUCCUCCCAGUGUUCUGAGUGGAGGCUCCUCCCCCGCGCUUGCGCACCAGCCACAGGUCUCAGCUGGGCACUCCUGAGCUCUGUGCUGCAACCUUGGGGCAUUGGGCUCUGUCUUUCGGCCCCUCGGGGUCAGACCCCUGCUGUGUUGGGGGAUCCGAAGUGCUCCCAAGCUGCCUGGAAAGCAUUCAGGCGGGGUCGCUAGCAAGAACUCAGGCUGGGCAGCGGAGGCGGCACAGUGCACACACUCCUGCAGGAACAACCAGACAGGGGCUUUGGGAGGGGCUGCGUGCAGGGGGUCCCGCAGAACAUAUGCGCCCCAGUCCCGCAGGAAGGACCGCCCUGCUCUCUCUUGGCUCACUGGUGGGGACAGCACUUCCUGGAAUAACGUUGCUUUGGAUUUAACAACAGUUGGGCAAAGGAGGUCGGUAUACAGAUACAGGACAAGAAGAGUGGUGUCAAAGGGAGGCUAAAUCAUUGGUUCUGGCUUCAUCUAAGGAAUUCUUAUGAGAAAUCGAGGGAGAGACUGUCCUGGGAAGUCUGAUGAAACAUGAUCAAGAUAUUUUAACUUCUGUGUUUAGCGCCUUUAAUAGAUUGAGCUAAGAAGUCUAAGCAAUCUUCAGGGCUAAGAAACAAGCUGCACUUGCCAGAGUUGGAUGUUCACACCUUGGUGAUGGCUGGGAGUCUGGCACUGUUGCCCAGGCUGAAGUGCAGUGGCGUGAUCUCUGCUUACUGCAACCUCUGCUCCCGGGUUCAAGCAAUUCUCCUGCCUCAGCCUCCUGAGUAGCUGGGAUUACAGGCGCCUGCCACCAGAUAUUAAACAGAAUUCUUAAUGAACAAAUCGGCCUUGAAAAGGGAACAUGGUGAAGCAAGACAAAAGAAUUACAAACUUUGACUGAAACUUUCUCCUACCAGGAAUACAGGGACCGCUCACCAGGUUGUGAUGAGAAGGAUCAUCUGAAAUGCUCCAUUGCUCUCAGAAGUUGAGGUAACUUCAUUGGGCCCAAACUGAUAAACUAGGAAUGGCUCAGAAAAUAGCCCCUUAGAAGAACUGUAUGAAGCUUGGAUCCAUUUUUCUGAGAAAAAAGAAAAAUCCCUCCAAUGAUUUGGUGAGGAGUUGAAGACAAAUAUCUUUAUUAUUUAUAAGUAUUCUGGCCAAGACAAUGAGUGUUGGAGUGGGAGGAUGAGGGAAUUUUAUGAUGAACGACAGCACAGCAAGAUGGACAGUAAGGCUCUGUCAUUGCCAUACCAGAUGUACAGAAGUGGCAUUUCAACUAAGGACACUGAAUAUGAAACAGACCUUGGAAAAGAGAGGAUGGAGUUAACUCUGAGAACAGAAAUCACCUACCUCUCUCCUCCCUAAACACACAGCUUACUGUCUAUAAUAAUAUACCCUUACUGGUCCAUUGUCCUCAUUAACAUAACUACAAUUCCAGGAGACUCUUGCCCAGGCAAAUUGCUUUAUUGUUCAUUACAGAGAGUUUUUGAAACAAAGAACCAUCAAUGCUUCAACAGAAAGCAUCAACAGUUUAUACCCCAAGAUCUUAGAACUCCUCACUUCCAAAUCCUCACUAUGCUAAUCCUAAACUAUUAUGUCAUGAUUUUUACCUAAACAAGACCCUGCAUGGAAAGAUCCUCUUUAUACAAUCUUUCAUUUUUUUGUCCUGGCUUUAAAAUGCAAAGCCCAUAUCCUUGGAAUUCCCUCUGUCUUGGGCAAAGUGUGACAGUUGGCCACCCUACUCCAAAAUCUCAUAAUUUUCCCACCUUGCCCCUCUAGAGACUAUCAAUCUCUGUUGAGGUGGUUCUCUCUUUCCAGGGUGAGCAAUAAACUCCUUGCCAGAGCUUUCCAUUGGGGGAGGAGGGUUUGAACUACUGCCAGAGACAAACAGAUGUAAACUAGAUGCAGGAGUUUGGAAAUUGAGCAGGGUUUGCAGUCUGGAAAAUUGCUCCACAAGAGACUGUCGUUGAACGAGUAGUCCUGAGUGAGUGGUCUAAGAGAACGUCAGAGUGAAAGAAAAUGCAGCCCACCUGGGUCAGCUGAAAAGGUAGAGAAUAAAAGGGAAAUGAAAUGCAGCUGCUAGUAACAGUUGAUUAAAUGAGGCUGGCAACUUACAUGGAGGCUGGAAGAGGAGAAAUGUGGGAGAGGCAGCAAGGAGAGAGAAGGAAACAUGAAGGAGGAGAAGAUUUCUAGAAGGAAAUGUAAGAGCUACAAAGGAGAAAGAUGAAUGAGAGACCCCACAAGAAAACAGCAGGGAAAAGAAGCUGCUUUCUGAGUUGAUGGUUGUUUCUAGUUUGGGGCUAUUAUGAAGAAAGCUGCUAUGAAGAACAUCCAUGUACAAAUCAUUUUAUGGACACACAUACUCAUUGCUCUUGGGUAAAUAUCUAGGAAUAUGAUUUAUGGAUCAUAG
This 4609-nucleotide long non-coding RNA is filed under the name Homo sapiens (human). RNAcentral describes it as "HSALNT0378210". The record is from RNAcentral. Lineage: Eukaryota; Metazoa; Chordata; Mammalia; Primates; Hominidae.